This 441-nucleotide ribosomal RNA is filed under the name uncultured bacterium. RNAcentral describes it as "partial 16S ribosomal RNA". It matches the Rfam family "Bacterial small subunit ribosomal RNA", at positions 338 to 795 of the family's 1533-position model. The record is from RNAcentral.
CCUACGGGAGGCAGCAGUGGGGAAUAUUGCACAAUGGGGGAAACCCUGAUGCAGCAACGCCGCGUGAAGGAAGACGGUUUUCGGAUUGUAAACUUCUGUUCUUAGUGAAGAAUAAUGACGGUAGCUAAGGAGCAAGCCACGGCUAACUACGUGCCAGUAGCCGCGGUAAUACGUAGGUGGCAAGCGUUGACCGGAAUUACUGGGGGUAAAGGGAGCGCAGGCGGGACGCCAAGUCAGCUGUGAAAACUACGGGCUUAACUUGUAGACUGCAGUUGAAACUGGUUUUCUUGAGUGAAGUAGAGGUUGGCGGAAUGCCUGGUGUAGCGGUGAAAUGCGUAGAUAUUCGGAAGAACACCGGUGGCGAAGGCGGCCAACUGGGCUUUAACUGACGCUGAGGCUCGAAAGUGUGGGGAGCGAACAGGAUUAGAUACCCUUGUAGUC